UUGUGGUCCAAUUCAAAUACAAUUUUAUUCAAUAUAAACUUAAUCAAUUUUAAUUCGAUUUUAUUUUUAAAUUGAACUAAUCUAAUUUCAAUGUCCAAUUGCACUGUUCUGCAACAUUGUUCUGUACAAGGCUAAAUGUUGCCAGAAUUUGGGCCUCAUGAUCUAAAACACAGACGGCCUGUAGCCUGUGGAGAGUCUAAAACUUGCUUGGUGCGGCCUUGUAAGUGAGCUGACGUGUUUAAAAUGAAUGCUGACGGCUAUAGUUAGAACAGAACUAAAUCCCACAGCGUUUAGUUAACCCAUUCGCUUGACUUUAUUUUGAUGAACGGACUACCCUUAAGUGUCCCCUCGGGGACAUCCGAUAAAAUUGGAACGAUACAGAGAAGAUUAGCAUGGCCCCUGCGCAAGGAUGACACGCACAAAUCGAGAAAUGGUCCAAAUUUUUUUUUUUUUCCCAUUUGCAGUGAACCUUCCCUUCAAUGGCUUCUUCUCCUCUCAGAAGUUACUUUUCUACCCAUCUAUCGAGCGCUGCUUCAGUAAACUGGUCCAUUUGCAUAAAAAGGGGUUCCGGGACCAUGUUGCUUCAAUCCAAAAGCAAAUUUAAAUGCCAUUUUAGGUACUCUUAGACUUGAUUCCACUUAGGAAACAAAAAUCAUGGCAUUUGUUUAUAUACAAUUGGUUCCGACCGAGACUCGAAUUUGAGACCGCAUGGUCCUAGGGACAAAUCUAUUACCACUAAGCUAAAGCUCAUUGGUUAGGAAGCAUAUAUUCUGAAUAUUCCUAGAUUUUCCUCUUUUUGAGCCUAACAUCAAGGCUAUAUGUUCUCUUCUUGAGCCUAAACUUCAGGCUACAUCAUCACCGAAAUUCUUAAAUAAACCAGUCAAUGCAAAGAAGGUUUUUAAGCUUAGCAAAUGUUUUACAGAUUCUAACUUCAUAUGUAAUCCUGAGACAGGUGGUUUUUAUCGCUUAAUAUUUGUUGGUCAGGAAACAAAUGCACUUCUAAAACAUGGAUAAUAGUACCUAACUGACCUUCAAUGUAGCUAAAUUAAAUGUUCGUGACAAUGAGAAACACAACUACAAAAGCCUCUGUGGACAACAUUUGGUUCUGAUUGAGGCAAACAAAACUGAUGGGACUUAGGUUUGAACCUGCCUUGUGUUAUAGAAUGAUUCUGAGCUGAAACAGUGGCUUUGUUUGCAGGGUAAAAUGCUGAAUGAUUUAGCUUACUUGAGUCUCUGCAAUAUGAGGUCUCCAGAUCACGAUUUGUUAGCAUUCCCUGUCAUGAAUUCUGAAGUAUAGGUAGAGGUAGAGCCCUUUUGAGAGUUCAAGAACGGUUAGUGUGUGGACAUAUGAUUGACUAUUGUUGGAGUGGAGAUUUAAGUUGAUCAGGCCCUUCUUCCAGUAAAAACCCCUAGUUUGAGUUCUUGACUGAUGGUUCAAAUCCGCCAUUCACCAGCAAGUUGUCCACAUUUUUGCAUGUUAAAAUCUGUUGUUUAAUUUCUAGUUUGAAGGUGAUAUAACGAGCGUCCAGGCCUUUUUUUUUUUUUCUUGGGUUCCAUUUUGGAGCAAGGAUGGACUGGUGGUGGUUGAGGAGAUCAACAUCUGGAUUCUGGAGUAUUUCUUUUUGUACUCAUUUCUUUUGUUAUAUAGCAGAGUUGUUUGAAAUCGAUAGGUUCGUUUUGGAACAGCUUACCUGCAGUUGACAUACCCAGGAAGAGGAAGAAGAGCAGCUUUGAAUCAACCAUGAGAGAUGUUGAUUUGUGAAGAUUCCUCACAGUUAUUUGACUGCGACUCGAUAAUGCAGAAACGUUGAAAAAAAAAUUAUUAAGAGUGAUUGUUAAGAUAUGAUGAAUAAACUUCCUCGUGUUCUCUAAUUACUUAGGCUAGUAAAUUUUUUAGGCUUUGAAAGGAGAUGGGAUAAUUUCCAGUUAACAAGAUUGCUGAUGAUUGAUAAUGGAUUUUCAUCCUACUACAAGAAUAUACAUGCAAAACUCUUUUAGCA
This is a long non-coding RNA of Hevea brasiliensis (rubber tree), 2000 nucleotides long. RefSeq lists it as uncharacterized. The transcript has 2 exons. The record is from RefSeq and is a predicted model, not a curated record. Lineage: Eukaryota; Viridiplantae; Streptophyta; Magnoliopsida; Malpighiales; Euphorbiaceae.